CUGAAAGGCUAGGGGUGCUUUCCGUCGAAACUUUAAUCCGGAAAGCUGAGAAAAACCCUUCGAACCUGAACCGGUUAAUGCCGGCGUAGGAAAGCCCAAAUCUUUUCCC
RNAcentral lists this non-coding RNA (109 nucleotides) under Methylomonas sp. Its description in RNAcentral is "TPP sequence". It matches the Rfam family "TPP riboswitch aptamer (THI element)". From Rfam's summary of the family: Vitamin B(1) in its active form thiamin pyrophosphate (TPP) is an essential coenzyme that is synthesised by coupling of pyrimidine and thiazole moieties in bacteria. The record is from RNAcentral. Lineage: Bacteria; Pseudomonadati; Pseudomonadota; Gammaproteobacteria; Methylococcales; Methylococcaceae. RNAcentral also lists the same sequence under 1 other name.